UUUGAUUGUUGCUCAGAAUGCGU
RNAcentral lists this microRNA (23 nucleotides) under Limulus polyphemus (Atlantic horseshoe crab). RNAcentral's name for it is "Lpo-Mir-315-P6-v2_5p (mature (guide))". Lineage: Eukaryota; Metazoa; Arthropoda; Merostomata; Xiphosura; Limulidae. The record is from RNAcentral.